This 381-nucleotide ribosomal RNA is filed under the name marine copepod environmental sample. Its description in RNAcentral is "SSU rRNA". It matches the Rfam family "Eukaryotic small subunit ribosomal RNA", at positions 587 to 972 of the family's 1831-position model. The record is from RNAcentral. Lineage: Eukaryota; Metazoa; Arthropoda; Copepoda.
AGCUCCAAUAGCGUAUAUUAAAGUUGUUGUGGUUAAAAAGCUCGUAGUUGGAUCUCAACAGACUUGGAUCGGUUUACUUUGUGUAAUACUGAUCCAAAGCUGUGCUUUUGCUGGAGGUUUAGGGGUGCUCUUGAUCGAGUGUCUCUGGAUGCCAGCAGGUCUACUUUGAAAAAAUUAGAGUGCUCAAAGCAGGCUAAAAUGCCUGAAUAUUCGUGCAUGGAAUAAUAGAAUAGGAUGUCGAUCCUAUUUUGUUGGUUUUCGGGACUCGACAUAAUGAUAAAUAGGGACAGUCGGGGGCAUUUGUAUUCAAACGACAGAGGUGAAAUUCUUGGACCGUUUGAAGACAAACUACUGCGAAAGCAUUUGCCAAGAAUGUUUUCA